Molecule: ribosomal RNA, 285 nt
Filed under: uncultured cyanobacterium
Lineage: Bacteria; Bacillati; Cyanobacteriota
Description: partial 16S ribosomal RNA
Rfam family: Bacterial small subunit ribosomal RNA
Source: RNAcentral
AAACACUCGCGAGAGCUAGCAAUCCCAUAAACCGUGGCUCAGUUCAGAUCGUAGGCUGCAACUCGCCUACGUGAAGUAGGAAUCGCUAGUAAUCGCAGGUCAGCAUACUGCGGUGAAUACGUUCCCGGGCCUUGUACACACCGCCCGUCACACCAUGGAAGUUGGCCAUGCCCGAAGUCGUUACUCCAACCCUUGUGGAGGAGGACGCCGAAGGUGGGGCUAAUGACUGGGGUGAAGUCGUAACAAGGUAGCCGUACCGGAAGGUGCGGCUGGAUCACCUCCUAA